AUUGCUUCUUACUUGUGAACACCUCUUAUAUAUGUGGGGAUGUUCCUGUUUCGGAAGCAUAUAUUAAUUCUUUUGCCAGUUUUAAACAGCGUGAUGAAUAUUUCAUUUUUGCAGCGCGCUACCUGUCUUCUGGUACAAAC
This 140-nucleotide small nucleolar RNA is filed under the name Solanum tuberosum (potato). RNAcentral's name for it is "small nucleolar RNA snoR137". It matches the Rfam family "small nucleolar RNA snoR137". Lineage: Eukaryota; Viridiplantae; Streptophyta; Magnoliopsida; Solanales; Solanaceae. The record is from Rfam by way of RNAcentral.